GGUUGUGGCUCAAUGGUAGAGUGCUCGCCUGGCAUGCAUGAGGCACUGGGUUCCAUCCUCAGCACCA
RNAcentral lists this transfer RNA (67 nucleotides) under Marmota monax (woodchuck). Its description in RNAcentral is "tRNA.Ala". It matches the Rfam family "tRNA". From Rfam's summary of the family: Transfer RNA (tRNA) molecules are approximately 80 nucleotides in length. The record is from RNAcentral. Lineage: Eukaryota; Metazoa; Chordata; Mammalia; Rodentia; Sciuridae.